GGGGUUUGGUUUGUAGACCUGUUUUGACCCUGUUCACUUGACUUUGGCUAGUUGGAGCCUGAUUGAGCUCGACAGAGAUACGCUGCAUAUCGUUGGGUAGCGCCACGAGUGCCACUCCGGAGUCAGGCUUUGUGCUUUCGCGUUUGUGUCGCUCAUGCCAGUUGGACUUGCUCUCCACGGACACAGUUAGUGUGGAUAGAGCCCGAUAGUCGCAACGGCAGGACGGAUGUAUUCACAGUCCGGGGACGGGUAUGCUUACAGUCCCGGUUGGUGGUCAGAUUUGACAUUUCUACAGUUGGUUAGUGUAGAGCAGAUGUGUAGUGAUCGAUAGCGGUAGAGUUACUUCAUGCUUUUCUGACUACUCUCGCUCCCUUCUGUAGACUUAGUGGGUGGACCGAUGUUGUUUUGGGCGGUACCCACUGAGGACUACUUCUUUUUACAGUAGUUCUCCACGCCCAGUUGUUAUCCAUGUUUUUGCAGAGCACAGUUUCGGCUGCUGCGCUUCUCGCGGAUCACGAUCGAGGCAAGGGCGUCGCGAGUUAGAGCCUACCCAUCGUCUGAGCUAGAGAUGCCCUACUGCAGGUAGAUGUUUUGUUUCGAGUUUCUGUACAUAGUAGACUUAACUCGCCAGUGCGAGUAGCUCUGUAUUUUGGAUUUGGACUAUGUAUACGAAACUCAGUUUGUUUAGCUUCUGUUUUCUCUAGCAGCUCUCUACUACUGUUCGUAGUAGUGUUUGAUUUACAGGUACACUGUCGCUUCGUAUACAGAAAAAUUUCUUUGUAUACGGCGGAUUUGUCGCGUGCCCGGGGAACGGGACAUCCGCGGGCGUGACAGUGUCGCGUAUUUUGGAUUUGGACCAUGAAUACGAAACUCAUUUGUUUAGCUCUGUUCUCUAGCUCUCUAACUACUUUACUGUCGUAGUCGUGUUUGAUUUACAGGUAAGCUGUCGCUUCGUAUACAGAAAAAAUUUCUUUGUAUACGGCAGAUUUGUCGCGUGCCCGGGAACGAGAACAUCCAAGGCGUGACAGAUUAAGUUUGUAUCAGAGCUUUGCUAUAGGUCGUUAGGACCUAGGAAACCUAAGUUUGGCAAACCUUAGGAAAGCAAGACGCGAGAGGCGUAAUUUAUUGCGAAAGUCAAUGAUUAUUUGUUCUAACUCCUCCUAGAGUUGAGUGAGUGACUGAAGAGUGUCUGUUUUGGCUGAGAAAUUAUGUUGGCUGCAGACGACAUAAUUUUGGAGGGAAACCAGGGACGCCUUCCAGACUUUCGUUGAUUGGGUCAAGAGUGUUUGUGUUUCAACUGACCCCGAUCUAUUCUUGCAGCUAUGUAUCGUGCCGAGGUCGACCGUCGUUGCGAGAGCGUGCCAGUUGGCGCGGGAUCGUGCGGGAUCCCUGAGAGACCUGAGCAGAUGGAGCAGAGUACUCGGCAGGAGCAGGGUGACAGACAGAGGCGAGUGCACCUCGAAUGAGUAGAGCAGAGGGCCGACCGAGGCUAGCGCUCCCUGAUCUUAGUGCACAGUUGGCUGCCCUGACUGAGGUGACGAGGCAGCAGGGGGAGUUAUUGCAGAGGUUGUGUGAGAAGAUAGCUCAGCCACCGAGUUCAGUACCGAGAGUACCAGAGUCGCCAGUUCCACCCCCGAUUACUCCAGUGACCGCACUAGCUGCAGCAGUUCCUCCGUCGGCAGCAGUUCCAGUAGCGCCAGUUGCGUCUGCUAGGGGGCGAGUACCGUUGACUGAGGCCGAGCAGGAGCGCUGGACGGAGAGGUUAGCACGUUUUCGUCGAUUUGACCCACCGAUCUUCGACGACAGAGGCACUGAGGCCUGGAUUGUUGAGGGAUAGGUCAGUGCGAUGGAGAAGUUAUUCAAGAAUCUGUUCGUUCCAGAGUGGGAGCAGGUACCUUUGGGAGUACACUGUCUGUCAGGUGAUGCACAUGAUUAGUGGCGCAGAGCGAGGCGAGACCAGGGACUGGUGGCGACACAGUUGAGGUGGGAUGAGUUCUGUGGAAUGCUGUAUGGGAUGUAUUUCCCCAACAGCAUGAAACAGAAGAUCGAGGAGGAUUUGAAGAGGAUCCAGCAGGGUGAGCGGACAGUUCAGGAGUAUGUUCGGAAGUUUACUAGGCUCCUGAACUGUGUUCCGUUCGUGGCCAGAGACGAGGCACAUAGGGUCUAUUUGUUCGAGCAGGGUUUGAGACCCGACCUAUUCAGGUUCGUUAGAGCGCAGAGGUCGAGGACUUUGGAUGCAUCCAUUGAGCAGGCAUUAUGGGAGGAGAGAGGAGAGGUGUCGCUGCGGGAGAGGGCUCAGGGGCCGGGACAGAGUCAGGACAGGAAGCGCCCAGCUCCAGACGACGGAGGUCAGGCGAGUAGCAGGCUCCCGCCGAGGCCUCCACGAUCGCGUUCGCAGGGUCGAGGAUCCUCGGGGCGUCAGCGAUCUAGGGAUUCUCGUCAGAGGGGACAGCCAGAGAGGAUGCCGUAGUGUGUGAUCUACGGAGGACCACACUGGCCCAGACAGUGCGAGCAGAGGGAGGGCCGGUGCUACGGAUGUGGUCAGCCGGGACACAUGAGGGCAGCUUGUCCUCGAGCAGCAUCUCCAGCACCAUCAUCAGCUUCAGCUCCACCAGCACCUCAGCGGUCAUUCAGAGCAGCACCCAGUUACCGCUAGGAGGAUAGAUCUUCCGUGCCGCGACAGGGUGAGCGGCGACAGCAGGCUCCGAGUGGCAGAGUCUAUGCAGUACAGGUGGAGGACUCUACGGCAGCCGACCGAGUGGUGGCAGGUAUCACUUUGAUUUUCGGCAUUCGUACUCGUACUCUUUUUAAUACUGGAGCCUCGCAUUCUUUUGUUAGCCGAGCAUUUGCAUUGUUGCAUGGUCUAGAGUUAGAGUCCUUAUCGCAGGCACGAGAGGUGCAGAUCCCCGACCAUGUCUUGCAGGUUACAGAGUGUUGUUGGUCCUGUCCGGUGCAGUUAGACUCUUGGGUUAUGCUCGCAGACCUGUUGGUGCUAGGGCAGCUGCAGGACUUCGACGUUGUACUAGGUAUGGAUUGGCUGGCGCGGUACUAUGCUACGAUCGACUGUGGAGCGAGAACGGUGACGUUCCGCGAGCCUGGCCAGGAGGAGUUUACUUUCAGAGGCUGCAGGAGUACGUUGUUUGCCACCUGGAUCUCUUCGGCGAGGGCUCGACAGCUGUUGAGUAGCGGGUGUAUCGCUUUUCUAGCGACUGUUGUGGAGGUACCUACGGCGGUGCCGGGACUCGAGGACAUCCCAGUAGUCCGCGAGUUUCCGGAUGUGUUUCUCCCUGAGUUGACGACGUUGCCGUCGGAGAGGGAGAUUGAGUUUGUGAUUGAUGUAGUUCCGGAAACUGCACCAAUCUCAAAGGUACCUUAUCGGAUGGCGCCGGCAGAGCUGAGAGAGCUAAAGGCACAGCUUCAGGAUUUGAUGGAUAGAGGGUUUGUGAGACCCAGUGUGUCGCCUUGGGGAGCGCCGGUGUUAUUUGUAAAGAAGAAGGAUGGUUCGCUCAGGUUAUGUGUGGAUUACCGGAAGCUGAAUAAGGUGACCAUCAAGAAUAAGUAUCCCUUGCCGCGCAUUGAUGAUUUGUUUGAUCAGCUGCAGGGAUCUUAUGUCUUCUUGAAGAUUGAUCUCCAGUCAGGUUACCACCAGCUGAGGGUGAGGGCCGAGGAUGUUCCCAAGACGGCUUUUCGGACUCGGUACGGGCAUUAUGAGUUCACGGUGAUGCCUUUUGGAUUGACGAAUGCCCCUGCCGCAUUCAUGGAUUUGAUGAACAGAGUGUUCAAGCCGUUCUUUGAUAGGUUUGUGGUAGUCUUCAUAGACGAUAUCCUGAUAUACUCCCGGAGUGAUGCUGAGCAUGAGGAGCACUUGAAGAUUGUGCUACAGCUUCUGCGAGAGAAGAAGCUGUAUGCCAAGUUGAAGAAGUGCGAGUUCUGGCUACGGGAGGUUGCUUUCUUGGGCCACGUAAUUUCAGCCGAGGGCGUAGCAGUGGACCCGAAGAAGAUCGAGGCAAUUCGAGAUUGGCCUAGACCGACGACGGUGACUGAGGUACGGAGCUUCCUGGGACUGGCAGGAUAUUACCGUCGGUUUAUGGAAGGCUUUGCGAAGCUUUCCACACCUCUCACACGCUUGACUCAGAAGGGGAUUCGUUUUGUCUGGAGUGAUGACUGUCAGAGGAGCUUUGACAAGUUGAGACUGAGGUUGACGUCGGCUCCUAUCCUUGCCUUUCCGGUGAUGGAGGAUGGAUUUGUGAUCUACAGUGAUGCAUCGCACAGUGGACUUGGUUGGGUGCUGAUGCAGCAUGGUAGGGUAAUUGCUUAUGCUUCACGGCAAUUAAAGGAUUAUGAAAAGAAUUACCCUACGCAUGACUUGGAGCUUGCCGCGGUGGUUUUUGCUUUGAAGCUCUGGCGGCAUUAUUUGUACCGCGAGCACUGCGAGGUCUUCACCGAUCAUAAAAGUCUCAAGUAUCUGUUCACACAGAGGGAGCUGAACCUGAGACAGCGCCGGUGGUUGGAGUUAUUGAAGGACUAUGACAUUAGUAUUCAGUAUCAUCCUGGCAAGGCGAAUGUGGUGGCAGAUGCGUUGAGCAGGAAGUCAGUGCAGAGCCUGAGUUUGAGGAUUACUGAGCAGAGACCCCUACUCGAGGAGCUACAGCGGCUGGGACUCGAGAUAGUACCCCCUGGGUCUACGGCGAGGCUGACGUCUCUAGUGUUGCAGCCCACUCUGUUGGAUAGGAUCCGAGAGAAACAGAGUGGAGAUCCGUACUUGUUGAGGAUUAGAGAGCAGCUAGACAGGGGGCAGGCUGAGGGAUUUGCUUUGGACAGUUCGGGAGUACUACGGUACAUGGACCGACUGUGUGUGCCCGUGGAUCCUGAGAUUCGAGCGAACAUUCUGAGAGAGGCUCAUUGUUCCCCUUAUACGGUUCACCCUGGGGGAACCAAGAUGUACAAGGAUCUUAAGGCACGGUUUUGGUGGCCUGGAAUGAAGAGAGACAUUGGCAGAUUUGUGGCUCAGUGUUUGACUUGCCAACAGGUGAAGGCCGAGCAUCAGGUGCCUGCUGGUAAGCUUCAGAGUCUGCCAGUGCCCGAGUGGAAGUGGGAGUACAUCACUAUGGACUUUGUCGUUGGAUUGCCUAGAGCGCAGGGUGGCUACGACGCAAUUUGGGUGAUAGUAGACAGACUGACCAAGUCUGCUCACUUCCUACCGUUUCAGACUACCUGGUCCAGAGAGAGACUCGCGCAGCUAUACUUAGAUGAGAUUGUUAGGCUGCACGGCGUGCCAGUGUCGAUUAUAUCAGACAGAGACCCGAGAUUUGUAUCACAUUUCUCGAGGAGUUUGCAGACAGCCUUGGGUACACAGUUGCAUUUUAGCACGGCGUUCCACCCACAGACAGAUGGUCAGUCAGAGCGGACUAUACAGACUCUAGAGGACAUGCUGAGGGCAUGCGUCCUGGAUUUUGGAGGAGGGUGGUAUCGACAUGUGAGACUAGUUGAGUUUGCGUACAACAACAGUUAUCAAACGAGCAUUCAGAUGGCUCCGUUUGAGGCGUUGUAUGGACGCAAAUAUCGAUCCCCCCUGUUUUGGAGUGAUGUGGGUGAGCGGAGGAUACUUGGACCGGAGAUCUUACUUGAGGCUGAGGAAAAAGUGAGAGUCGUCCGACGACACCUUCUGACAGCACAGAGCCGACAGAGGAGCUACGCCGAUACCAGGAGACGAGACUUGGAGUUUCAGGUCGGAGAUCAUGUUUUUCUCAAAGUCUCGUCGUCCAGAGGAUACGCCGAUUUGGAGUACGUGGAAAGCUUAGUCCACGGUUUGUUGGCCCGUUCGAGGUAUUAGAGCGUAUCGGACCGGUGGCUUACAGGAUAGCUCUACCCCCGCGACUUGCUGGCAUCCAUGAUGUUUUCCACGUCUCAGCACUGAGGAGAUACGUUUUCGACCCCUCUCACGUGAUUGACUUCACUCCACUCGAGAUUGGCGAGGAUCUGAGAUACGAGGAGCGACCGUUGCGGAUUCUUGCUCGUGAGACGAAAGUAUUGCGCAACCGGGUCAUUCCGUAUGUGAAAGUGCAGUGGAGCCAUCACGAGAAGCGGGAUGCGACUUCGGAGCCUGAGACGGUGAUGAGGGAAGCUUAUCCCUACCUGUUUGAUGCCUGAGCAGAGGUAUGUUUCAGUUUCGCGGACGAAACUUUUAUAGAAGGGGAGGAUGUGAGAUCCCUUGUGUUCAGCUGUGGAGGCUUGCCGACAGCUCUGGAGAGUGUCGGGACAAGUCCGAGUCGCGUUGGCGUCAAAUAGACGUAAAACGGACUCCGUGCGACGCGAGGGCAGCUUAUAGCGAAGAAAUCUGCAAAACUGCAGAUUUCUCUGCUUGCUGUACUGGUACAACCAGCGUGGCUGUACCGGUACAACCAUCGUGCAGAGGAUUAGCAGCUCUCGGGUUGGCUCUUGUACCGGUACAAGAGCCCGUGUACCGGUACAAGGGGGUAGGUAGAGGGUUAAUUUGGUAAUUCCCUCCCUCAUUUGUUUCACCCCUCACUCCCUUCUAUGUAGCUUCAUGUAGAGAGAGAGAGAGAGAGAGAGGUCUUCUUGAUGCAAUUCUCCCUCUCUCACUCUCACUCUCAUCCAGUUGAAGGCUUAGGAGCUCGGUUGGAGUUUUGUCGCCGACGUCGCGCCGCGAGGCCGUUCGAGCUUGUGUUUGAGGCCGGGGUAGCACGUGGAGGCCGGGCGAGCAGGGAUUUUCGCCAUUCUUGCUGUCACUCGGGUGCUCGGUGUUGUCGAGGUGGGUAUUUCAUUAAUUCCUUGAUUUUUAGGCAAGUGUUUACUAUUUCUACUCGGAUAGUUAUUGUUUGCUGAAAUCCACCGUCGACUGUUAGUAUUUUAGCUCAUUCUCGACGUAGGAGCAUCGGAUUGCGACGAGACUUGGUUCGUUGGAUUCGGGACUUCGAGAGGAAUCCACUAAGCCCUUACCUGUGGUUUUUAGUGAAGGUUAGCUUGGUCGAAACCCUUCUCUUCUCUGCUGCUGUAUUUUUGGACUGAAUUGGGAAUUUUCGACGUUGAUAGCUUCGAGUUAGCGCGAUUCUUGGGUUCGAAGGGCUACGAUCGACCCAGCAGGUGGCGCCACAGCUAUGAGAGUAUACCGCUGCCAGGGGAUACCUUUCGAGGUGGGUUUACAUCGGUUUAUUCCUAAGUACCGUAAUCGUCGACAUGUAUGAUUUUUCAGUUUCGGUAAUCAUGUUGUAGCUUGAUAUUCGUGAUGCUAUCCUUGAUAAAAUCAGUAUUGAGAAUAUGACUAGUAAAUCUUAAAUGUACAUGUUGGACUAGGAUUUGACUUAGGAGAAAACACGAUUGGAAUCGUCAUAUACUUAAACUACCAGAUUUAGCUCUAGGAGCCGUGAUUCGAUUGUAUCGUUGCAGUAGCAGUGCGAUGAAUACCUGGGGUAGUUUAGAAGGCAUUUACGCUCGUGCUGGGAUGCCGAGCUUAUUUUUCAACAGAGUUUAGGCUGUUUCGGGUCGUUCGGUGCCGUUCGGGUUAGCGGUGGACCCAGAUUAUUGUUUUGGUCACAGAUUGUGCCGAGGGCACGGGGGUUUGGUUUGUAGACCUGUUUUGACCCUGUUCACUUGACUUUGGAUAGUUGGAGCCUGAUUGAGCUCGACAGAGAUACGCUGCAUACUCGGUUGGGUAGCGCCCACGAGUGCCACUCCGGAGUCAGGCUUUGUGCUUUCGCGUUUGUGUCGCUCAUGCCAGUUGGACUUGCUCUCCACGGACCAGUUAGUGUGGAUAGAGCCCGAUAGUCGCAACCGGGCAGGGACGGAUGUAUUCACAGUCCCGGGGACGGGUAUGCUUACAGUCCCGGUUGGAUUGGGUCAGAUUUGACAUUUCCUACAGUUGGUUAGUGUAGAGCAUGAUAGUGUAGUGAUCGAUAGCGGUAGAGUUACUUCAUGCUUUUCUGACUACUCUCGCUCCCUUCUGUAGACUUAGUGGGUGGACC
Molecule: long non-coding RNA, 7982 nt
Filed under: Ananas comosus (pineapple)
Lineage: Eukaryota; Viridiplantae; Streptophyta; Magnoliopsida; Poales; Bromeliaceae
Description: long non-coding RNA (ACOM_LNC009119)
Source: RNAcentral